AUUGAACGCUGGCGGCAGGCCUAACACAUGCAAGUCGAGCGAGAAAGCACCUUCGGGUGUGAGUAGAGCGGCGGACGGGUGAGUAACGCGUAGGAAUCUACCCAGUGGUGGGGGACAACAGUCGGAAACGGCUGCUAAUACCGCAUACGCCCUGAGGGGGAAAGCGGGGGAUCUUUUCGGAGACCUCGCGCCAUUGGAUGAGCCUGCGUUGGAUUAGCUAGUUGGUGGGGUAAAGGCCUACCAAGGCGACGAUCCAUAGCUGGUCUGAGAGGACGAUCAGCCACACUGGGACUGAGACACGGCCCAGACUCCUACGGGAGGCAGCAGUGGGGAAUAUUGCGCAAUGGGCGAAAGCCUGACGCAGCCAUGCCGCGUGUGUGAAGAAGGCUCUAGGGUUGUAAAGCACUUUCAGUAGGGAGGAAA
Molecule: ribosomal RNA, 423 nt
Filed under: uncultured bacterium
Lineage: Bacteria
Description: bacterial SSU rRNA
Rfam family: Bacterial small subunit ribosomal RNA
Source: RNAcentral